GACGAACGCNGGCGGCGUGCUUAACACAUGCAAGUCGAACGAAGAGCGAUGGAAGCUUGCUUCUAUCAAUCUUAGUGGCGAACGGGUGAGUAACGCGUAAUCAACCUGCCCUUCAGAGGGGGACAACAGUUGGAAACGACUGCUAAUACCGCAUACGAUCUAAUCUCGGCAUCGAGGAUAGAUGAAAGGUGGCCUCUACAUGUAAGCUAUCACUGAAGGAGGGGAUUGCGUCUGAUUAGCUAGUUGGAGGGGUAACGGCCCACCAAGGCGAUGAUCAGUAGCCGGUCUGAGAGGAUGAACGGCCACAUUGGGACUGAGACACGGCCCAGACUCCUACGGGAGGCAGCAGUGGGGAAUCUUCCGCAAUGGACGAAAGUCUGACGGAACAACGCCGCGUGAGUGAUGACGGCCUUCGGGUUGUAAAG
Molecule: ribosomal RNA, 425 nt
Filed under: uncultured bacterium
Lineage: Bacteria
Description: bacterial SSU rRNA
Rfam family: Bacterial small subunit ribosomal RNA
Source: RNAcentral